AUGGCUGACACUCAAGCUACUGAAAUGGAGAGAGAAACAACUGUAAACAAAAUUACAAACACAAACAAGACAUAUCCAAAGACAAAUUAUAAACAACAAAGAGGUCAACAGGCAUCAUCAUCAUAUCAUAAUCCAAAUUACUCUAAUCGCCCAACUAGACAGACACAAUGCAGAAAUUGUGGUGGCCAAUUUCCUCAUAAAAAUGGACCGUGCCCAGCAAAUGGCAAAACAUGCAAUGCAUGUCACAAACAAAAUCACUUUGCUAAAGUAUGUCGAGGCAAAAGCAAACAAAAUAAAUACACAAGAGACAGACGGGUACAUGAAAUACAGACAGAAACGUCCCAAAGAGAAUCAUAUCAAGCAAGUCUGGAUAGUUCAGAUGAAGAAUAUUCAUAUAGUAUUAAAGAGGCAGUAUGCUCAAUAAAGAAAUCACCCUUCACUAUGAUCAAAGUAAAUAACACAACAUGUUCAAUGAUGAUAGACACUGGUGCGACAGUCAAUAUCUUGGAUGAUAAAACACAUAAAAACAUUGGCUCUCCAAAACUUAACAAAAAAUGACAUAAAACUUUUGCCUUAUGGAGGGGGCAAACCUCUUGAAGUCACAGGAGCAUGUGAGCUAGGAGUAGAAACAAAAACACAAAUAUGGUGUACACAAGUUUUACGUAGUGAGAGGCGGACACGGCGCAUUGAUUGGCUAUCCUACUGCAUCACAACUAGGACUUGUUAAAAUAAUUCAACCGAUAAGUAUACAAGCUCCCGAGAAGAGGUAUCCUGAUGUGUUCAGGGAUGAAAUUGGAAAAUACACAGGUGGUUCAGUAAAACUACAUAUUGACACUGACAUCAGACCGGUUGCGCAAAGAAACAGAAAAACAGCAUUUCACAUUAGACCAAAGGUAGAGAAGGAAAUACAAAAAUUACUAGAUCAAGACAUUAUAGAGAAAAUAGGGAAUACCCCAACACCCUGGGUGUCACCGAUUGUAACACCACCAAAGAAAAACCCUGAAGAGAUACGUCUGUGUGUAGAUAUGCGUGAGGCCAACAAGGCCAUUAUAAGAGAAAGACAUUUAUUACCGACAGUUGAGGAGCUCAUUCAUGAUUUAAAUCACGCUUCAGUCUUUAGUAAACUAGAUUUGAGAGCAGGAUAUCACCAACUAGAACUACAAGAGCCCUCUAGAUAUAUCACAACAUUCAGUACACACAUGGGAUUAUUUAGAUAUAAGAGACUUAAUUUUGGCAUCUCUUCAGCAUCAGAAAUUUUUCAAGAGACAAUUAGGUGCGUAAUACAAAACGUACAAAAUGCAAAGAACAUUUCAGACGAUAUCAUUAUAUAUGGAAAAUCUCAAGAAGAGCACGACGAAGCUCUUAACGAUACACUACAAGCUCUACAAAGAAACGGGUUAACAGUUAACAAAGCCAAAUGCGAGUUUAACAAGAGUAAAGUUACAUUUUUUGGAGUCGUAUUUUCAAAAGAGGGUAUUUCACCAGACCCGAGUAAAGUCAAGGCAGUCAAAGAUGCCACACCGCCAACGACAGUUCCAGAACUUCGUAGCUUCCUUGGAAUGACAAAUUAUUCAUCUAGAUUUAUAAGAAACUAUGCUUCUAUUUGUGAACCAUUAAGAAGGUUAACACGACACAACAUGGACUGGGAAUGGACUCCUGAGCAACAAAACGCAUUUGACAAUCUUAAAACUGAGCUAUCUAGUGAGACAGUAAUAACUUAUUUCAAUCCUUCUCUACAAACAGACAUAUAUGUUGACGCUAGUCCAGUUGGACUUGGAGCAAUUAUCUCUCAAAAUCAAAAGACAAUAGCAUAUGCAAGCAGAGCAUUAACAGAUGUAGAGUCCAGGUACAGUCAAACAGAAAGAGAGGCACUGGCCAUAGUAUGGGCCUGUGAACAUUUUGACAUUUUUAUCCGUGGAGCUAAAAAUGUAAAUAUCAUAACUGAUCAUAAGCCGCUAGAGAGGAUAUGGCAAAAGGCCAAAAUACCACUGAGAAUAGAACGAUGGGGUUUACGUCUGCAACCCUAUAAGCUUACAAUCAAGUAUCAGCCAGGGCGUGAUAAUCCUGCAGAUUACAUGUCCCGUCAUCCUAUUGCUAUGUGUAGCAAGACGCGAUCACACGAGGAGAAGGUUGCUGAACAAUAUGUGAACUUUAUUGCAAAUCAGGCAAUUCCAAAAGCAAUGUCGCUAAGCGAAGUCAAAGGCGCAAGUUUGACCGAUAGAACACUUCAAAAAGCUAUUGAAUUAACAAGAAAUGGAAAGUGGUACGAGUUAAAGAAAUUAGAUGAUCCCAAUUUAGAUAUUCAAGAACUUCAAGUAUAUCGCAGCAUUCAAGAUGAACUUGUUGUUCAUGAUGAAAACAUUUUACUUAGAGACAAUAGAAUUGUUAUGCCAAUGUCACUUCGUGACCGUGCAGUUAGUCUUGCACACGAAGGCCAUCAAGGAUUAACAAAGACAAAAGCGUUCAUCAGAUCAAAAGUUUGGUUUCCCGGCAUCAACGACAGAGUAGAUUCACUCAUCAAAGAUUGCAUAGCAUGUCAAGCUCUAACACGUUCUAAGCUAAUGGAACCACUCAAAAUGUCAGAAAUGCCAGGAGAACCAUGGACUGCACUAAGCGCAGAUUUCUGUGGUCCACUACCGUCUGGAGACUACCUAUUUGUGAUAACAGACGAAUAUUCUAGAUAUCCUGUAGUUGAGAUAAUAAGAUCCACAUCAGGUCACACUGUCAUACCAGUGUUGGACAAAGUGCUGGCGGCAUAUGGGAUUCCAAAAAUACUAAAGACCGACAAUGGAAGUCCGUUUAAUUCAUAUGAAUUUAGAGAAUAUGCUGCCAGCAUAGGAUUUUCACACAGGAGAAUCACGCCAAGAUGGCCACGGGCUAAUGCUCAAGCAGAAUCGUUUAACAAACCCAUGAUGAAAAACAUAAAAGCAGCAGAGGUAGAGAGGAAAAGUUGGAAACAAUCAAUGUAUAGAUUUUUACGGCAAUACCGCAAUACUCCACAUAGUUCAACAGGAGUAAAUCCUUUCAAAUUGCUGUUCGGAAGGGAAACAAACACAAAAUUACCGAGCAUACCAAAAGAAAAACGACCAGAACUAGAUGAAUAUGCACGCCAAAACGAUGAAAACGCAAAGACACGAAUGAAACAUUUAGCUGAUCUGAAAAAUAAAGCUAAGUCAAAUGACAUUGAAGAAGGAGACACUGUGUUAAUUAGAAAUGAAGUUAAGAAGAACAAAUUAACACCGAUAUUUGAUCCAAGACCUCAAACCGUCAUCAAGAAGAAAGGAACCAUGAUAACUGUUUCGGACAGCGAAAAGCAAACAACACGCAAUGCUUCAUUCUUCAAAAGUACAAAACACAGUGCCAAAUUCUCCGAUCAAUUGGAUGAAGAAGAAGAACUCGAUAUUGAAAUUCAUCCGAAGGAGGAAAACAAAAUAAAAUCUCCAAUUCAAAGUCGUCCAACACGUAUCCGCAAACCACCAUCAUAUCUUAAAGAUUAUGAGUGUAAAGUGAGGGGCAUAAUAAUCCCCUAA
This 3530-nucleotide small RNA is filed under the name Mytilus galloprovincialis (Mediterranean mussel). The record is from RNAcentral. Lineage: Eukaryota; Metazoa; Mollusca; Bivalvia; Mytilida; Mytilidae.